Molecule: long non-coding RNA, 513 nt
Filed under: Trifolium pratense (red clover)
Lineage: Eukaryota; Viridiplantae; Streptophyta; Magnoliopsida; Fabales; Fabaceae
Description: long non-coding RNA (TPRA_LNC010513)
Source: RNAcentral
AUUAUCUUCUGCAAGCCAAUAAUGAAGAAAAAAAUGGAGGAAAGCAGUAGAAAGAAGAAUAUCAAAGGGCUAGGUGGAAAACAGAGAGAAAUAGGGGGAGGUUUGAGAUUCAAAAUUUGAAGGUGAUAGAAGAGGGCUAGAGAGAGAGCCUGUGUUAUUUUGAAUUUGAAAUUUGAAUUGAGGANNNNNNAGCGUGAUUUGUCUCUGAAUUGAGGAGGUUGCAUGUAAAAGGGAUGAGUGAGAACAAUUCAGAAUUUGCCUAAACAAUAUUACCCAAAAUGAAGAGAUGCUGAAAGGGACAAGACCCUUGUUGCUUCUGACCAGAUUCUUUCUUUUUUUCAUUUGUUUGGGCUUCUUGCAAUGGGCCUUGCAUUUUCGACCCACUUUUCUGGCCCUUUGAUCAUUUGUUCACACUUUUUUCCCUCCAUUAUCAAAUUUGAAAACAUUGCCUAAAUGAGGUUAAAAUUUUGUCUAAACAUGAAACUUGAAAUCCUAUGUGGACUUGCUUAGAGG